This 189-nucleotide small nuclear RNA is filed under the name Termitomyces sp. J132. RNAcentral's name for it is "U2 spliceosomal RNA". It matches the Rfam family "U2 spliceosomal RNA". Rfam says of the family: U2 is a small nuclear RNA (snRNA) component of the spliceosome (involved in pre-mRNA splicing). Lineage: Eukaryota; Fungi; Basidiomycota; Agaricomycetes; Agaricales; Lyophyllaceae. The record is from Rfam by way of RNAcentral.
UCACCACUCUGGCCUCAUGGCUUAGAUCAAGUGUAGUAUCUGUUCUUAAUAGUUUAACCACUAUUAUGGGGGUCCGCCUCCGUAUUCGGUUAUCUUAUUUUUGUCGCCCUUUUCUUCCAUGCUCUGCUUGCACCGUGGAAGGAGUGAUGACCUCGCUAUUACACUGAUGGCCUGUGUCGUCGAGGGCUC